This 1038-nucleotide ribosomal RNA is filed under the name uncultured bacterium. Its description in RNAcentral is "bacterial SSU rRNA". It matches the Rfam family "Bacterial small subunit ribosomal RNA", at positions 32 to 1074 of the family's 1533-position model. The record is from RNAcentral.
AACGCUGGCGGCAUGGCUAAGACAUGCAAGUCGAACGGACUAUUUUGAAGAGUAAUCGGAUUAAUAGUUAGUGGCGAAAGGGUGAGGAAUAGAUAGGUAACGUACCUCGGGCUCCGGAAUAGCUCAUCGAAAGGUGGGGUAAUGCCGGAUGAUGUCAUCUGUUUAAUGCAGAUGACCAAAGAUUUAUCGGCCCCUGAGCGGCCUAUUUCCUAUCAGCUUGUUGGUGAGGUAACGGCUCACCAAGGCGACGACGGGUAGCGGGACUGAGAGGUUGACCCGCCACAUCGGAACUGAGACACUGUCCGGACCUCCACGGAGGGCUGCAGUAACGAAUAUUGGGCAAUGGGCGAAAGCCUGACCCAGCAAUGCCGCGUGUAGGAUGAAGCUUUUCGGAGUAUAAACUACUUUCAGGGAUUAGAAAGCUACGGUUGAUCAAUCCCAGAAGAAGUCACCGCUAACUUCGUGCCAGCAGCCGCGGUAAGACGAAGGUGGCAAGCGUUAUUCGAAAUCACUGGGCUUAAAGGGCGCGUAGGCGGAUAUAUAAGUGUUAGGUGAAAUCCCCCGGCUUAACCGAGGAAUUGCUUGGCAAACUACAUAUCUUGAGGCAAGUAGGGGUGUGUGGAACUCUUGGUGGAGCGGUGGAAUGCGUAGAUAUCAAGAGGAACGCCGAAGGUGAAGACAGCACACUGGACUUGUACUGACGCUGAGGCGCGAAAGCGUGGGGAGCAAACAGGAUUAGAUACCCUGGUAGUCCACGCCGUAAACGAUGUAUACUAGGUCGCGGAGGUUCUGACACCGUCGCGGUCGUAGCAAAAGUGUUAAGUACACCGCCUGGGGAGUACGGUCGCAAGGCUAAAACUCAAAGGAAUUGACGGGGGCUCACACAAGCGGUGGAGCAUGUGGAUUAAUUCGAAGCAACGCGCAGAACCUUACCUGGGUUUGACAUGUAUGGAUGCCUAUCUGGAAACAGAGUCGGCUGCCCUCGGGUGAAACUUACACAGGUGCUGCAUGGCUGUCGUCAGCUCGUGUCGUGAGAUG